CCCUUAGAUGUUCUGGGCCGCACGCGCGCUACACUGAUGCAUUCAACGAGUCUACAACCUGGUCUGAUAGGGCUGGGUAAUCUUUUGAAUGUGCAUCGUGAUUGGGAUAGAUGAUUGCAAUUCUUCAUCUUCAACGAGGAAUGCCUAGUAAACGCAAGUCAUCAGCUUGCAUUGAUUACGUCCCUGCCCUUUGUACACACCGCCCGUCGCUCCUACCGAUUGAAUGUUCCGAUGAAUACCAUGGACUGAGAGUAUGAAUGGGUUCGCCUAUUUCUGCUUCUCGGGAAGUGGAGUAAAUCUUAACAUUUAGAGGAAGGAGAAGUCGUAACA
Molecule: ribosomal RNA, 330 nt
Filed under: uncultured eukaryote
Lineage: Eukaryota
Description: partial 18S ribosomal RNA
Rfam family: Eukaryotic small subunit ribosomal RNA
Source: RNAcentral